This 307-nucleotide ribosomal RNA is filed under the name bacterium. RNAcentral's name for it is "bacterial SSU rRNA". It matches the Rfam family "Bacterial small subunit ribosomal RNA", at positions 1 to 313 of the family's 1533-position model. The record is from RNAcentral.
UAACUGGAGAGUUUGAUCCUGACUCAGGACGAACGCUGGCGGCGUGCUUAAUACAUGCAAGUCGAGCUAGCUACUUCGGUAGCGAGCGGCGCACGGGUGAGUAACGCGUAGAUGAUCUACCCUCGAGAAUGAGAUACCUCCGGGAAACUGGAGUUAAUACCAGAUAACGCACAUUGGUUGGUUCUGAUGUGUUAAAGCGGUGCAAGUCGCACUUGAGGAUGAGUCUGCGGCCUAUCAGCUUGUUGGUGGGGUAACGGCCUACCAAGGCGAAGACGGGUAGCUGAUCUGAGAGGAUGAUCAGCCACAU